This 274-nucleotide ribosomal RNA is filed under the name uncultured bacterium. RNAcentral describes it as "partial 16S ribosomal RNA". It matches the Rfam family "Bacterial small subunit ribosomal RNA", at positions 523 to 796 of the family's 1533-position model. The record is from RNAcentral.
AUACGAAGGGGGCAAGCGUUGUUCGGAAUAACUGGGCGUAAAGCGCACGUAGGCGGAAUGUUAAGUUAGAGGUGAAAUCCCAGGGCUCAACCCUGGAACGGCCUUUAAUACUGGCAAUCUAGAGACCGAGAGAGGUGAGUGGAAUUCCGAGUGUAGAGGUGAAAUUCGUAGAUAUUCGGAGGAACACCAGUGGCGAAGGCGGCUCACUGGCUCGGUACUGACGCUGAGGUGCGAAAGCGUGGGUAGCAAACGGGAUUAGAAACCCCAGUAGUCC